Molecule: long non-coding RNA, 836 nt
Filed under: Nicotiana benthamiana
Lineage: Eukaryota; Viridiplantae; Streptophyta; Magnoliopsida; Solanales; Solanaceae
Description: long non-coding RNA (NBEN_LNC029868)
Source: RNAcentral
GCAGUGCCAUAUCUGGCCUGGAGUUGGGACCAUAUGCUCUGUGCAGUGUCAGAGUACUGUACUGACUCAGCAAUUGCAGGGGAGAUGGAAGCAGUCAACCAAGAAAUUACUAUGUUGUUGCACCUAUCCCCACAACCUUUGUUGAGCCACAUUAGUGGCAGGUCGGGAGUAAGUGCCAUCAACAAAACAGAUUUUGUUUUUUGCUGAUAAGGCAACAAUCAUUUUACGUCUCCAUCCCCAUAACCACUACCCGAGAAAGGAGUGGGAACAAGAGAUACCUCAGGGACAUCAGAAGAAUAUACAAAUAGGGGACUGGAAGAGUCUACAGAAGGGGAGGCACCAGUACCAGCACUUGUGUUAGAAGCCAUAGUCAAUGAACCGGCUUAGAUGAACAACUUUUCAACAAACAGAAUACAACCAAAACAGGUAUUCACACACAACAACCAACAAAUAGAACACAGUCAAGUCAGGUAUUCACAAAAAACACCAGAUGCUCACAAGUACACAAUCAAAUAAUCACACAAAAUACCGAAGAUAAGGACAGAGUUACCCUCCUUCUUCGCGUCCGGAGAAGAUCGGCCUUCAGAUAACAGAGAAACCCUAGGUAUCAAACCCUAGGUGUAACCUUAAAAGCAACUUUACUGGAGAUGUGGUCAGGAACGUCGGAGAAGCACCCAAAACGUCCACUGAGUGAGAAUGGGGCUACCGGAAGGCAGUAAAACUUCAAGUUAAACCACCAGAAACCCUAGAAGCCGAAUAGGUCACCCAAAAUCAACCAACCAAAAUCAUCAUAAAAUCUUCCAGAAUGUUCAGGAGAAGAAAAUACACUCGGAUAU